RNAcentral lists this long non-coding RNA (546 nucleotides) under Rattus norvegicus (Norway rat). Its description in RNAcentral is "long non-coding RNA NONRATT012686". The record is from RNAcentral. Lineage: Eukaryota; Metazoa; Chordata; Mammalia; Rodentia; Muridae.
ACAGUGACUUAUAAGGAUGUACAUGUGAACUUCACUCAGGAAGAGUGGGCUUUGCUGGAUCCCUUCCAGAAGAAGCUCUACAAAGAUGUCAUGCUGGAGACAUACAGGAACCUCAAUGCUAUAGGCUUUAAUUGGGAAGACCAAAAUAUUGAGGAACAUUGUCAAAGUUCUAGAAGACAGAGAAGGUACUUCUUAUAUGCAAGCUCAUACAAAUAUGCCUCUGAAGAAAUUUUAAUGUGUGCUGAAAGUUUGAAAGUAAAGCAACAGUGUAAAUAAGAACUGCUUUAAAUAUAUUGGUGAUCGAUACAUGAUAACAAAACCAUGGUAUUCCAUGUGCUUUUAUCUGAUUUGUUUUUGCAAUGCAAUUUUUUAAGAAAGUGGACUUGGAAACAAUGCCUUAGUGUAUAUCACCAUUUGAAAGACAACCCUAUUAGAACUACACUGUACAACUGGCAGUACAUUUCUGUUAAUUUUGUAAAAGCUCCACAUGUUGAAUAGUUGACAAAUACAUGUUGAAAAGCUUCUAAUAAGCUCAUUCCGAUAUUA